Manihot esculenta (cassava) is the source of this 1178-nucleotide long non-coding RNA. RefSeq lists it as uncharacterized. Lineage: Eukaryota; Viridiplantae; Streptophyta; Magnoliopsida; Malpighiales; Euphorbiaceae. The transcript is spliced from 4 exons. The record is from RefSeq and is a predicted model, not a curated record.
UUAAAAACAAAAAUCGAAUAUAGAAAAAGCUAUUUCUACGUUUUACCUUUAUCCUAAUUUUUCAUAAUUGAAAACCUAACCCUAGUUUCACCUAAAUCCCAAUUAUUAACCCUAAAUUUCCCACAUAUUCACAUAUCACAAGCCUCGAACGAGGCCUAGGUCGAUGGAACGCAGUUCACUCGCAGUUCAUCCGAGCAACGCCCUUUUGUCAAAUCCAAGGCUCCUGCAGUUAAAUGGUUAAACCAAUGUGUACCCCAAGAUGUUGCAACUGGUGGGAAGUCUUCUUUUUUCAAAUGGGGACCAAUGAAGGUUUUGAAAGAGAAGGUGCAAGAACCAUCUGCACCAGAGCCAGAACAAACCUGCAGUUUUGAAAGAGCAAUUACUGCAUGAGACAAUUAGUCGAAUCAGGAGGUUGAUGAAGAUGAUUAUGCUAAGCAGAGGCUGUCAAGGCUGAGGUUGAAGAUGCCCUCUUCAAAAUUCACACAACUGAAAGGUUCAAGUCCAUCUGGUGCCAAUUUGAAUGGGGUUAAAAAAAUCUUGGCCAGUAAGAAAAGAAACCAAUGAGGAAGAAGAUAGUGAAGGGACAGAGGAGGAAGAUCAUGACAAUGCAGAGGAUGGUCGGAGGUAUAGCAAAAACAAUUACCAAUGGACGGAAUAUGAAGACUGAAGAGUGAAAUACAGGAGAGGGUGCUUUAAUUUAUUAUAUAUAAAAAUAUUUUUUUAGAAAAAUACUUGUUUCAUUGUUUAAUUUUCUUUAAAAAUAAUUAGAUUUUUUGAGAUUACAAAAUAUUUUCUGUUUAUUAUAUUUCGGAGUGUCAAAAUUAUAAAAAAAAAUGUUGAACAAUAAUUUUUUUUUCAGACAGAAAACGGAACCCACGUUUAGACAAAAAUUUUCUGUUUGGAGGAAAGGAAAAAUAGGCCAAUUUUCCAUUUUCAUUCCAUGCACGCUCACACGUCCUCUUCACCCGCCCAUUAAUUCCAUGACAUAAUAAUAUCAUCAUGUUUCUCUACCUACGCACAAAAUAAAAAACUCUCAAAAAUAAAUAAUUAAAUAUUUAUUUUCAUACCCAAAAAAUUAAAAACUUAUUAUUAUUAUUUGUCAAAACAUAUUUGGAAAAUGGAUUAAUCCUAGGCCUAAUCCCUUCCAGCAGGCGUUUUCUUUCUUUGAGGCUUCCAGG